This 476-nucleotide ribosomal RNA is filed under the name Veillonella atypica. RNAcentral's name for it is "bacterial SSU rRNA". It matches the Rfam family "Bacterial small subunit ribosomal RNA", at positions 28 to 474 of the family's 1533-position model. The record is from RNAcentral. Lineage: Bacteria; Bacillati; Bacillota; Negativicutes; Veillonellales; Veillonellaceae.
GACGAACGCUGGCGGCGUGCUUAACACAUGCAAGUCGAACGAAGAGCGAUGGAAGCUUGCUUCUAUUAAUCUUAGUGGCGAACGGGUGAGUAACGCGUAAUCAACCUGCCCUUCAGAGGGGGACAACAGUUGGAAACGACUGCUAAUACUGCAUACGAUCUAACUUCGGCAUCGAGGUUAGAUGAAAGGUGGCCUCUAUUUAUAAGCUAUCACUGAAGGAGGGGAUUGCGUCUGAUUAGCUAGUUGGAGGGGUGACGGCCCACCAAGGCGAUGAUCAGUAGCCGGUCUGAGAGGAUGAACGGCCACAUUGGGACUGAGACACGGCCCAGACUCCUACGGGAGGCAGCAGUGGGGAAUCUUCCGCAAUGGACGAAAGUCUGACGGAGCAACGCCGCGUGAGUGAUGACGGCCUUCGGGUUGUAAAGCUCUGUUAAUCGGGACGAAUGGUUCUUGUGCGAAUAGUGCGAGGAUUGACG